GAAUGGUUAACAAGUAUGAUUCGCAGUCACGAGGUCCCAGUUCCCACUGUAUGGCAUCUUCAUUUUCUUUAGCUUUCGGGUGAACAAUAUCUUGAUAAGGAAAAUAGGUAAACGGAAACUGUAUAGAAGUCCUAUCUCACGCUGAUUUGACUGAGAAUUAUGUUGGAGUAUAUGUAUCUGUGAAUUGCUGAGUCGCAUACUCAUUAAUUCAAGAGCAGCGUUUGGUACUUUCAUAUCUCCAAAUAACACAGCUAUGCUGCUUGAUCAGAGCAUUUACAUGAAAAACAGUGAUACUGGAUAAGAGAAUUGUCCUUUGAUUAACUGACAACAUUUCAUCUUGGCUGUAUCAUUAUCAGAGAGAAUUUGUUUGGUGGCAACAAUUUCAUCCUAGACGCAAGCACGGACUUCUGUUGAUAAUAAAUCAUGGAUAUUUCCAGUUUUACAAAGUCAUUCACAAGUUUGUCUUAAAUGUUUUGUUACUUGAAGGAUGUUUUCCAUACAAGCUUCAUCAUUGUGGCAUUGACGAAGCACUGGUGGAAUUAAUUAAAUAAAGUGAUCAAUAAAUUUGAUAGAAAGACAAAAUCAAUAGAAUAUUAUUGUAU
Octopus sinensis (East Asian common octopus) is the source of this 602-nucleotide long non-coding RNA. RefSeq lists it as uncharacterized. NCBI's taxonomy places the organism in Eukaryota, Metazoa, Mollusca, Cephalopoda, Octopoda, Octopodidae. The transcript is spliced from 3 exons. The record is from RefSeq and is a predicted model, not a curated record.